UUUUUUUUGACAAUAUAAAUAUUUUAUGUGUGGUGAGGAAUUUCUUUUCUUAAAAUAUAUGAACUAUUAAUAAAAAUUCUACCAAUUAACUUUUAUUCGUAGGAGAAAUAUAACAAUAUUUUUUUUAACAAUAUAAAUAAAUUACGUACGGUAGGAAAUUUCUUUUCUUAAAAUAUAUAAAUUAUUAAUGAAAAUUUUACUAACUUUCGUUCGUAUGAGAAAUGUAAUAUUUAUAUAUAAUAAAAAUAUAUUAUUAUAUUAAUAAUAUUAUAUUUUAUUAGUAGUGUUCAUGUCGUGUUCGUGUCCUAAUUUUUUAAAGUUGUCGAGUCAUGCCGUGCCCCGUGCCCUGUGU
Molecule: long non-coding RNA, 352 nt
Filed under: Ananas comosus (pineapple)
Lineage: Eukaryota; Viridiplantae; Streptophyta; Magnoliopsida; Poales; Bromeliaceae
Description: long non-coding RNA (ACOM_LNC033715)
Source: RNAcentral